This 1533-nucleotide ribosomal RNA is filed under the name Streptococcus pneumoniae GA16833. RNAcentral's name for it is "bacterial SSU rRNA". It matches the Rfam family "Bacterial small subunit ribosomal RNA". The record is from RNAcentral. Lineage: Bacteria; Bacillati; Bacillota; Bacilli; Lactobacillales; Streptococcaceae.
GAGUUUGAUCCUGGCUCAGGACGAACGCUGGCGGCGUGCCUAAUACAUGCAAGUAGAACGCUGAAGGAGGAGCUUGCUUCUCUGGAUGAGUUGCGAACGGGUGAGUAACGCGUAGGUAACCUGCCUGGUAGCGGGGGAUAACUAUUGGAAACGAUAGCUAAUACCGCAUAAGAGUGGAUGUUGCAUGACAUUUGCUUAAAAGGUGCACUUGCAUCACUACCAGAUGGACCUGCGUUAGUAUUAGCUAGUUGGUGGGGUAAGGGCUCACCAAGGCGACGAUACAUAGCCGACCUGAGAGGGUGAUCGGCCACACUGGGACUGAGACACGGCCCAGACUCCUACGGGAGGCAGCAGUAGGGAAUCUUCGGCAAUGGACGGAAGUCUGACCGAGCAACGCCGCGUGAGUGAAGAAGGUUUUCGGAUCGUAAAGCUCUGUUGUAAGAGAAGAACGAGUGUGAGAGUGGAAAGUUCACACUGUGACGGUAUCUUACCAGAAAGGGACGGCUAACUACGUGCCAGCAGCCGCGGUAAUACGUAGGUCCCGAGCGUUGUCCGGAUUUAUUGGGCGUAAAGCGAGCGCAGGCGGUUAGAUAAGUCUGAAGUUAAAGGCUGUGGCUUAACCAUAGUAGGCUUUGGAAACUGUUUAACUUGAGUGCAAGAGGGGAGAGUGGAAUUCCAUGUGUAGCGGUGAAAUGCGUAGAUAUAUGGAGGAACACCGGUGGCGAAAGCGGCUCUCUGGCUUGUAACUGACGCUGAGGCUCGAAAGCGUGGGAGCAAACAGGAUUAGAUACCCUGGUAGUCCACGCUGUAAACGAUGAGUGCUAGGUGUUAGACCCUUUCCGGGGUUUAGUGCCGUAGCUAACGCAUUAAGCACUCCGCCUGGGGAGUACGACCGCAAGGUUGAAAACUCAAAGGAAUUGACGGGGGCCCGCACAAGCGGUGGAGCAUGUGGUUUAAUUCGAAGCAACGCGAAGAACCUUACCAGGUCUUGACAUCCCUCUGACCGCUCUAGAGAUAGAGUUUUCCUUCGGGACAGAGGUGACAGGUGGUGCAUGGUUGUCGUCAGCUCGUGUCGUGAGAUGUUGGGUUAAGUCCCGCAACGAGCGCAACCCCUAUUGUUAGUUGCCAUCAUUUAGUUGGGCACUCUAGCGAGACUGCCGGUAAUAAACCGGAGGAAGGUGGGGAUGACGUCAAAUCAUCAUGCCCCUUAUGACCUGGGCUACACACGUGCUACAAUGGCUGGUACAACGAGUCGCAAGCCGGUGACGGCAAGCUAAUCUCUUAAAGCCAGUCUCAGUUCGGAUUGUAGGCUGCAACUCGCCUACAUGAAGUCGGAAUCGCUAGUAAUCGCGGAUCAGCACGCCGCGGUGAAUACGUUCCCGGGCCUUGUACACACCGCCCGUCACACCACGAGAGUUUGUAACACCCGAAGUCGGUGAGGUAACCGUAAGGAGCCAGCCGCCUAAGGUGGGAUAGAUGAUUGGGGUGAAGUCGUAACAAGGUAGCCGUAUCGGAAGGUGCGGCUGGAUCACC